Molecule: ribosomal RNA, 604 nt
Filed under: Cantharellula umbonata
Lineage: Eukaryota; Fungi; Basidiomycota; Agaricomycetes; Agaricales; Hygrophoraceae
Description: eukaryotic LSU rRNA
Rfam family: 5.8S ribosomal RNA (bases 248-401)
Source: RNAcentral
AAUGGUUUAUUGAAGGGGUUGUAGCUGGCAUUAAUGCACGUGCACGCCCCUUUGUUAUUGAACAUAACUCACCCGUGCACCUUUGUAGACUUGGGCUGAGAGGGUUUCAUUGACUUGUCAAUGAUCCUUUGCUGGGGUCUGAUCGACCUCGAAAGGCUCGUGUCUAUGUUUAUAUAUGCCCUUAUUGUAUGUCAACAGAAUGUCACUUGUAUGCUUGCCUUAACAAAGCGAGCUUCGAGUCUAAUACAACUUUCAACGACGGAUCUCUUGGCUCUUGCAUCGAUGAAGAACGCAGCGAAAUGCGAUAAGUAAUGUGAAUUGCAGAUCACAGUGAAUCAUUGAAUUUUUGAACGCACCUUGCGCCCUUUGGUAUUCCGAAGGGCAUGCCUGUUUGAGUGUCAUUAAAUCAUCAAUCGAUGGAUUGAUCUAUGUGGAUUGGCUUCCAYGUGGUGUUAUCCUUCGACUUGGAUGUGGAGGUUGCUGGCUUAUAACAAAAGUCGGCUCUUCUUAAAUGCAUCAGCGAUCCUUAGAGUAAGGGGGCUUUGGUUUGAUAACUCGUUGUCUAAUCAACUCCGACUCUUGUAUUGCUUUACAUUGUGACAAC